CCACAGAGAAGUAUGCUGAACCCCAAGAGAAGAGGCACAAUGUUAAUCUCCAUGGAAGAACAGGAUGCCUGAAGAACUCUUCGCUUGGCUGAGUUGGAUGAAACAAAGAUCUUAGACUCUCAGAGGCCGUCUUCGCUGUAUUAUGGAGGAGCUUCUCCCUAAGAGACAAGCCUUAGCCAAUUCUCUUAAAAAGACCAUCUGGGCGGUCAAGAGCUGAAUGCCGCUUGGUUUUCCCUUCUCCUUGCUUUGACUGGGACCCAAAAUAUGACAAUCGUUCUGAUUCAAGGUAGGGGGGCGUUCCUCAUUCCCGGAUGUCCUCCCAAAGGCAGAUACCCAUGCCCUUACCCGCGGCGCGUGAAUACGAAGGGAGGCACUGCUCGGGCUCGAGACCGCACCAAAGAUUGCUCAGCGCCUGCCGCCUCUGGGCCGCCGCCCCCCGUAGUGGAGGCAAAGGGCCAGAGGCCCCGAGCUUUGGAGCCGCUGGCGCCCAUGUCAGCGCCG
RNAcentral lists this long non-coding RNA (501 nucleotides) under Rattus norvegicus (Norway rat). RNAcentral's name for it is "long non-coding RNA NONRATT028965". The record is from RNAcentral. Lineage: Eukaryota; Metazoa; Chordata; Mammalia; Rodentia; Muridae.